RNAcentral lists this ribosomal RNA (253 nucleotides) under uncultured bacterium. RNAcentral's name for it is "partial 16S ribosomal RNA". It matches the Rfam family "Archaeal small subunit ribosomal RNA", at positions 474 to 727 of the family's 1478-position model. The record is from RNAcentral.
UACCAGCACCCCGAGUGGUCGGGACGAUUAUUGGGCCUAAAGCAUCCGUAGCCGGUCUUGCAAGUCUUCCGUUAAAUCCAGCUGCUUAACGGAUGGGCUGCGGAAGAUACUGCAAGACUAGGAGGCGGGAGAGGCAAGCGGUACUCAGUGGGUAGGGGUAAAAUCCUCUGAUCCAUUGAAGACCACCAGUGGCGAAGGCGGCUUGCCAGAACGCGCUCGACGGUGAGGGAUGAAAGCUGGGGGAGCAAACCGG